UGCAAAAGGUGAAGGAUGGGAUCCCUCAGAAGUGAGUUUCCCCCCCCAAGAUGUGGCUCACGUCUGCUGCCCCAGCUCCCAUCCAUGAUGGAGGAUAAACUUCGCUCGUUGGGUUAAACCCAACUCUUUAAGCAUCGCCGGGGGUGGGCGAAGCAGGUUGUCCCCUCUGCUCCCCUCAGGGACCCCGUUGGCCCCAUUCGGGGACUGGAUUUGGGGCCGUGGGGCUCUUCCCGAGCUGCUUUUGAAACCGAACAGCAGUGACAGGAGCCCCGAUGGCUGCAAAGCCCUUUCCUCCUCCUCCUCCUGUGUCUCUUUGGGGCAAAAAAAAAAAAAAAUCGAUUUAGACAGCUAUUUAUUUAUUUACUUAUUUUUAUUCCUUCCUUUUUCUGUCCCCACCCUUAAGCCAAAAAUUGGGACUGAAAUAUUUUUGUUUCCCCCCGCAAACUUGCCCCUUCUGAAAACCAACAUUUCUCUCGUGCUCCCUUUGCAAAUCUACAGGAAAAAAAAAACCCCUUAUUUGGGAUUCUUUUUUCCUCCCCCCCCGCAGUAUUUCCCUUUUGCCAGAGAAAUGGUGACUGGGGUUUAUCCGUGCGCUCACGGCAGCUCUCCUCUGCCCUCGGGGUCCAUCCCCUCUCUGCCACAGGAGCAUCCCAGCCCCAUCCCUGAUGUCCCUCUGGAUCCCAGACUGGGAUGUUCCACCAGCCCCUCGGAUGCUCGGGCUCUUGGAGGCUGCCAGAGCUGGGAUGCAGCCGCGCUUCUGGAAACUUCCAAAUUUUGGCAUUUCCCGCAGUCACUGGGCAUCCCCGCCGCUCUCCUGAGCAUCACCCCUACCCUGGGUUUGCUGGGGAUGCCCGAGGUGGGCACAUGGGCAUCACCUGCACCCCCAAACCACCACCCCUUCAUCACAGGGCUGCGGAGAAGGGCUUGAUGGGUCAGGACCACCACCCCUCACCACCCCCCCCCCCCCAAAAAUCCUGCUAAAACACAAGCUUUUGGUGGGUUUUUAAAAUAAAACCUGUUAAAACUGUUCCUGG
This 1034-nucleotide long non-coding RNA is filed under the name Calidris pugnax (ruff). RNAcentral's name for it is "lncRNA (ENSCPUG00000018054.1)". Lineage: Eukaryota; Metazoa; Chordata; Aves; Charadriiformes; Scolopacidae. The record is from RNAcentral.